This 446-nucleotide ribosomal RNA is filed under the name uncultured bacterium. Its description in RNAcentral is "partial 16S ribosomal RNA". It matches the Rfam family "Bacterial small subunit ribosomal RNA", at positions 338 to 795 of the family's 1533-position model. The record is from RNAcentral.
CCUACGGGCGGCAGCAGUCGAGAAUCAUUCACAAUGGGGGAAACCCUGAUGGUGCGACGCCGCGUGGGGGAAUGAAGGUCUUCGGAUUGUAAACCCCUGUCAUGUGGGAGCAAAUUAAAAAGAUAGUACCACAAGAGGAAGAGACGGCUAACUCUGUGCCAGCAGCCGCGGUACUACAGAGGUCUCAAGCGUUGUUCGGAAUCACUGGGCGUAAAGCGUGCGUAGGCUGUUUCGUAAGUCGUGUGUGAAAGGCGCGGGCUCAACCCGCGGACGGCACAUGAUACUGCGAGACUAGAGUAAUGGAGGGGGAACCGGAAUUCUCGGUGUAGCAGUGAAAUGCGUAGAUAUCGAGAGGAACACUCGUGGCGAAGGCGGGUUCCUGGACAUUAACUGACGCUGAGGCACGAAGGCCAGGGGAGCGAAAGGGAUUAGAUACCCCAGUAGUC